Molecule: long non-coding RNA, 910 nt
Filed under: Salmo salar (Atlantic salmon)
Lineage: Eukaryota; Metazoa; Chordata; Actinopteri; Salmoniformes; Salmonidae
Description: lncRNA (ENSSSAG00000113931.1)
Source: RNAcentral
CUUCUCUUUAGACGCUGCAGCCUUGACCUCCAUCAACAGAGUUAGAGUUAGUUUAUCAUGAGAACAUACAGACACCACUGACUGGAACCAGCUGACAGUAUCAGUUGUAAAGGCUUCAUUACUACUAACAGAAGGAAAGUUGUAGUGUUAUGUCCAUGAUGAAUGAUGUAAAGGCUUCAUUACUACUAACAGAAGGAAAGUUGUAGUGUCCAUGAUGAAUGAUGUAAAGGCUUCAUUACUACUAACAGAAGGAAAGUUGUAGUGUCCAUGAUGAAUGAUGUAAAGGCUUCAUUACUACUAACAGAAGGAAAGUUGUAGUGUUAUGUCCAUGAUGAAUGAUGUAAAGGCUUCAUUACUACUAACAGAAGGAAAGUUGUAGUGUUAUGUCCAUGAUGAAUGAUGUAAAGGCUUCAUUACUACUAACAGAAGGAAAGUUGUAGUGUUAUGUCCAUGAUGAAUGAUGUAAAGGCUUCAUUACUACUAACAGAAGGAACGUUGUAGUGUUAUGUCCAUGAUGAAUGAUGUAAAGGCUUCAUUACUACUAACAGAAGGAAAGUUGUAGUGUUAUGUCCAUGAUGAAUGAUGUAAAGGCUUCAUUACUACUAACAGAAGGAAAGUUGUAGUGUCCAUGAUGAAUGAUGUAAAGGCUUCAUUACUACUAACAGAAGGAAAGUUGUAGUGUUAUGUCCAUGAUGAAUGAUGUAAAGGCUUCAUUACUACUAACAGAAGGAACGUUGUAGUGUUAUGUCCAUGAUGAAUGAUGUAAAGGUUUCAAUGUGUUUUAUAUUGAGCUGCUCUGUUAAAUUCUGUUUGUUCAUGUGAAAUUGGAAAUUGUAUUUUUCUAUAAUGUCAUUGUGUGUGUUUAGCUUGAGCAACACCAUUGUAUGGUUGCUAACUUGUCAAAUAAAGC